UGUAUUUGUACAGUCUGCAAAACAUAACAAAUGACAUGAAUAUCUCCUAAUAGAUCUCAGAGUUCAUAUCAAAUCUGAACCAAAGAGAUUCAUAUGCGUAAACUGCAGCAUCAAAAGCAGAGACUGCUAAACAUAAUAGUUCAUCAGUACGGCACCUAGAACAACUCAACAAAUCCCCACCAAAACCAUUCAGACCAAAGUUUAAAAAAUAAUCAGGUAUCGUUCUUCUCAUUCAAGGACCAGAGCUUCUGUUAACCAAAUAUAGCACCUAAAUACUGCAAGUAAAUGCAAAUAUUGUUUCCACCAAGACCAACUUUUUCCAUUCAAUCAACUUAAGCAACUUCUAAUGUUAGACAAAUUAUAUUAAUAUCUAAUCAGCAAAAUCUAAUCCAUUCUCACAGCUAUUCAUAAAAGAAUUUGUUUUCACUAAAUUUAUCCCUAAAUCCUAACUAUUUAGAAAUGAUAGGAUAAGUCCUUUUAAGAACUGAAAUCAGCAUGAAAAAGCCUUGAUACACACAUGGGUCCUUUCCUUCAACCCAGUCUUCCUAGAACCAACGCCUAAAUUCAAUCCUAAAAGGUUGAAUAUUCUCUCCAUAAUUCUACCACAAUUUGGUCUCCAAUUUGCCCAUACAAAGCUGGAACUUGAAUUAAUUUCUUGGGCACAAACUGCGAGCAGACUAGGGUUGCUUAUCUGGGCUCCUUAAGCAUAUGUGCAGCGACCAAUUGAUUUCCUAAAAGUUUGGUUUUCACCAAAUUCGAAAGGGCAUCUGCGAUUUCUACCUAAUAAUUUGUAGAAUCAAAACAUUUCAACUCUCGAUUUUUGAAAGAAAAAUUAACAAAAUGCUUCACUAGCACAUUAUCUAUAACGGUAAAGCGAUAGUAUAUUACAAUUUCCUUUCUUCUCCUAAAUUUUCUCAAGGUCCAAACAGAAUCCAACAACAUACAUACACACAUCACAAAUAACUAAAUAAAAAAAGAAAACCUCAAGAAAUUGGACUU
This 999-nucleotide unclassified non-coding RNA is filed under the name Hevea brasiliensis (rubber tree). Lineage: Eukaryota; Viridiplantae; Streptophyta; Magnoliopsida; Malpighiales; Euphorbiaceae. The record is from RNAcentral.